RNAcentral lists this transfer RNA (72 nucleotides) under Ornithorhynchus anatinus (platypus). It matches the Rfam family "tRNA". From Rfam's summary of the family: Transfer RNA (tRNA) molecules are approximately 80 nucleotides in length. Lineage: Eukaryota; Metazoa; Chordata; Mammalia; Monotremata; Ornithorhynchidae. The record is from Rfam by way of RNAcentral.
AGCAGUGUGGCUCAGUGGAAAGAGUCUGGCCUUUGGAGUCAGAGGUCAUGAGUUCGAAACCCAAAUCUGCCA